AGGGCACCACCAGGAGUGGAGCCUGCGGCUUAAUUUGACUCAACACGGGAAAACUCACCCGGCCCGGACACUGGAAGGAUUGACAGAUUGAGAGCUCUUUCUUGAUUCAGUGGGUGGUGGUGCAUGGCCGUUCUUAGUUGGUGGAGCGAUUUGUCUGGUUAAUUCCGAUAACGAACGAGACUCUAGCCUAUUAAAUAGGCUCUCGGCUUUUAAACGCCGGGAGGACUUCUUAGAGGGACAGGUGGCGGUUCAGCCGCACGAAAGAGAGCAAUAACAGGUCUGUGAUGCCCUUUGUUGUCCGGGGCCGCACGCGCGCUACACUGAAGAGAUCAGCGUGCUUUACGUUCCUGCUCCGACCGGAGUGGGGAACCCAGUGAACCUUCUUCGUGAUUGGGAUAGAAGAUUGUAAUUAUUCUUCUUGAACGAGGAAUUCCCAGUAAAUGCGAGUCAUGAGCUCGCGUUGAUUACGUCCCUGCCCUUUGUACACACCGCCCGUCGCUACUACCGAUUGAACGAUUU
This 519-nucleotide ribosomal RNA is filed under the name uncultured eukaryote. RNAcentral describes it as "SSU rRNA". It matches the Rfam family "Eukaryotic small subunit ribosomal RNA", at positions 1161 to 1699 of the family's 1831-position model. The record is from RNAcentral.